This 73-nucleotide transfer RNA is filed under the name Dendronephthya gigantea. RNAcentral describes it as "tRNA-Tyr". It matches the Rfam family "tRNA". From Rfam's summary of the family: Transfer RNA (tRNA) molecules are approximately 80 nucleotides in length. Their secondary structure includes four short double-helical elements and three loops (D, anti-codon, and T loops). The record is from RNAcentral. Lineage: Eukaryota; Metazoa; Cnidaria; Anthozoa; Malacalcyonacea; Nephtheidae.
CCUUCGAUAGCUCAGUUGGUAUAGCGGGGGACUGUAGAUCCCUAAGUCACUGGUUCAAAUCCGGUUCAAAGGA